UGGGCGUAAAGAGCGUUGAGGCGGUUCCGUAAGUUGGGCGUGAAAGCUCCGGGCUUAACCCGGAGAUGUCGUUCAAUACUGCGGGGCUUGAGGACAGCAGAGGAAGGUGGAAUUCCCGGUGUAGUGGUGAAAUGCGUAGAUAUCGGGAGGAACACCCGUGGCGAAGGCGGCCUUCUGGGCUGUUCCUGACGCUGAAGGCGAAAGCUAGGGGAGCGAACGGGAUUAGAUACCCCGGUAGUCCUAGCUGUAAACGAUGGAUGCUGGGUGUGGGGGGUGUAAAUUCCCUCUGUGCCGAAGCAAACGCGUUAAGCAUCCCGCCUGGGGACUACGGCCGCAAGGCUAAAACCCAAACGAAUUGACGGGGGCCCGCACAAGCAGCGGAGCGUGUGGUUUAAUUCGAUGCUACACGAAGAACCUUACCUGGGUUUGACAUGCACGUGGUAGGGAACCGAAAGGGGACCGACCUUCGGGAGCGUGCACAGGUGCUGCAUGGCUGUCGUCAGCUCGUGCCGUGAGGUGUCGGGUUAAGUCCCGUAACGAGCGCAACCCUUGCCCUUAGUUACAAGUGUCUAAGGGGACUGCCCGGGACAACUGGGAGGAAGGUGGGGAUGACGUCAAGUCAGCAUGGCCUUUAUAUCCAGGGCUACACACACGCUACAAUGGCCAGUACAAUAGGUAGCCAAGUCGUGAGACGGAGCCAAUCCUUAAAGCUGGUCUCAGUUCGAAUUGCAGUCUGCAACUCGACUGCAUGAAGCUGGAGUUGCUAGUAAUCGCAGGUCAGCCAUACUGCGGUGAUACGUUCCCGGGCCUUGUACACACCGCCCGUCACGUCAUGGAAGCUGGCAACGCCUGAAGCCGGUGAGCUAACCCGAAAGGGGGCAGCCGUCGAGGGUGGGGCUGGUCACUGGGACGAAGUCGUNACAAG
Molecule: ribosomal RNA, 925 nt
Filed under: uncultured organism
Description: bacterial SSU rRNA
Rfam family: Bacterial small subunit ribosomal RNA
Source: RNAcentral